This 430-nucleotide ribosomal RNA is filed under the name Pseudomonadota bacterium. RNAcentral's name for it is "Proteobacteria bacterium partial 16S ribosomal RNA". It matches the Rfam family "Bacterial small subunit ribosomal RNA", at positions 355 to 776 of the family's 1533-position model. Lineage: Bacteria; Pseudomonadati; Pseudomonadota. The record is from RNAcentral.
UGGGGAAUAUUGGACAAUGGGGGGAACCCUGAUCCAGCCAUGCCGCGUGUGUGAAGAAGGCCUUAUGGUUGUAAAGCACUUUAAGCGAGGAGGAGGGUACUGGUAUUAAUACUACCAGGUACUGGACGUUACUCGCAGAAUAAGCACCGGCUAACUCUGUGCCAGCAGCCGCGGUAAUACGGAGGGUGCGAGCGCUAAUCGGAUUUACUGGGCGUAAAGCGUGCGUAGGCGGCUAAUUGAGUCGGAUGUGAAAUCCCCGAGCUUAACUUGGGAAUUGCAUUCGAUACUGGUUAGGUAGGGUGUGGGAGAGGAUGGUAGAAUUCCAGGUGUAGCGGUGAAAUGCGUAGGGAUCUGGGGGAAUACCGAUUGCGGAGGCAGCCAUCUGGCCUGACACUGACGCUGAGGUGCGAAAACGUGGGGGGCAAACAGG